RNAcentral lists this transfer RNA (67 nucleotides) under Ogmocotyle sikae. Its description in RNAcentral is "tRNA-Thr". The record is from RNAcentral. Lineage: Eukaryota; Metazoa; Platyhelminthes; Trematoda; Plagiorchiida; Notocotylidae.
AAAAAAUAGUUUAAGGUUAGAAUGCUGUUUUUGUAAAACAGUGAUAUUUGGUAGUCAGAUUUUUUUC